CAGCAGUCUGUCUGCCUUUCCCUCCCCCUCUGCUGCUCUCCCUUCUUCCAGCUUUGUUUCUGGGAUGUCUGGGAGAAGGGUUUUGUUUGAUGGGUCUAUUUGCAAUGGGUGAGGUCCACCUUUCAGCAGUGCCACUCUCCACUCCAUCAGUGAAGCACUGGGACCUGGAGGUAUUGAGUUGCCCAGGGUCACGUGGGUUGUGGCAAAGAGCACCUGAGAAGAGAGGAUUACAGAUCCUGGGGCCCAGAUUUACUCCUGACAGAGACCAGCUGAAGAAAACAUUGUCAAAUGCAAGCAGGGAUGAACUCGCACUGUCUCUGAUACAAAUGUUCACAGGAGGAUGUUGCAAGGAUGGUCUUAGCUCAGCACUCAACCUGGGAGUGACAAGGGAAAAUGUGGGGGGUUACAGGAGCAAUUGGGUGGCGAUGUUGAUAGGGACAUGGCAAGUUACCUUUUGCUCAAAUUCUUGUUGAUCCAGUUCCAGAGACAAUUCUUACUCAAUUUCUAUUUCAGAAAAGCUCAUCCGUGAACUAAGGAGCUUGUAUACACGUGUUUAUCUCGUUAUUGCCUUGCCAGUGGAAUAGACUCUUUCUGUCAUUGACCCCAUUGGAAGACAUUCCUUGGUGUGGUUGGUGGGAUGAACUUCCAUAAGCAUUCUCUUGCUUGCAGCUCUCAAUUCAAACCAAAAAGCCUCUAGUGGAAAAAGUUGAACGUGACUGGGUGUGCUCCAGCUGACGUGGGCUGGGGGCUGUUCACACUGGCAACAGAGUUGGCAAACUGAUGAGAGAUGAGCGAAUAACAUCCAAUCCCAGAGCUGUGUGAAGCUGCUUGGGGCGAGGGGUUGGCUGGAGGAAGGCAUAUGAUUAAGUGUGAUAUUAAAGCUGAAUGGAAGUGAAGGGUCUGACUGCUGAUUCCACAGAAGCACUGAAGAAAGAGUGAAUUCUCUAUAAGAUUUCCUGAGAGGUUUUUUGUUCCCCAGCAGGAAGGCUGCAGGACAUCUCAGUUAAAGGCUGGCCUAUCUGCAGAGACCAUGUGUGAUGGCUUUCCCAGAGCCAACGUCUGUUUCCCCCCCCAACUCCCCAGUAGCUUCCUGCCAGAGCUCCUUGCCUCCAAGGAUGUUGGCUUGGCAGGUUGCCUUGGUUCUCCCUGGAUCAUGGGAUCACUGGGUGAGUCAAUUUGGAAAGGUCUUCAGGAGGUCUCUGUCCAGCCUCCUGCUUCACACAUGAGCUCAUGCAGGGUUUCUCAGGGCUGUACUUGGGUUGUUGGAUAUUUACAUGUAUUAUAGCAGUAGAGACUGCUGCUCCUGUGGUCUGUUGUUUGAUUUGUGCUCUCUGGUUCCUUGGUUGGCCAAAGCCAAAGAUGGCUGACUGUCAAAUGCAGCAUCUUCUAGAUUGCUCAGGUAGGAGAAGCUGUGUUACCAAACUAAGCUGCCCCCAAGUUUCACGUUCAUUCUCCCCAGCAUGAGCUGUUUUGCAUCUUUCUCCCUCCUCCUUUCCCCUCUAACAAAGCUUUCUGUUUCUGUCUUACUGUCUUUGUG
This is a long non-coding RNA of Gallus gallus (chicken), 1537 nucleotides long. The record is from Ensembl. Lineage: Eukaryota; Metazoa; Chordata; Aves; Galliformes; Phasianidae.